Molecule: microRNA precursor, 63 nt
Filed under: Tupaia belangeri (northern tree shrew)
Lineage: Eukaryota; Metazoa; Chordata; Mammalia; Scandentia; Tupaiidae
Description: miRNA (ENSTBEG00000021257.1)
Source: RNAcentral
UAGGAUGGUCAACCAUCCUGGUUUGCCUAGGACUGAGGGGUCUCUCCGGAAGUGGGAUUUCUU